UACAGAGGGUGCGAGCGUUAAUCGGAAUCACUGGGCGUAAAGGGUGCGUAGGCGGGUUUUUAAGUCAGAGGUGAAAUCCUGGAGCUCAACUCCAGAACUGCCUUUGAUACUGAAAGUCUUGAGUAUGGGAGAGGUGAGUGGAACUGCGAGUGUAGAGGUGAAAUUCGUAGAUAUUCGCAAGAACACCAGUGGCGAAGGCGGCUCACUGGCCCAUUACUGACGCUGAGGCACGAAAGCGUGGGGAGCAAACAGG
This 253-nucleotide ribosomal RNA is filed under the name uncultured bacterium. Its description in RNAcentral is "partial 16S ribosomal RNA". It matches the Rfam family "Bacterial small subunit ribosomal RNA", at positions 524 to 776 of the family's 1533-position model. The record is from RNAcentral.